AGUCAUCAACCCCGAACGUUUCGUGCGUUCCGGCGGUUGGAGCUGGGGGCCUGCUGCCGUGAGGCUGCUCCCCUCAAAUGCAUCGGUUGGACCUGUGGGUCGAACUCGACUGGGCGUUGUACCAUCCUCGCUCUCGAAUGAGACGUUCCCCUUUGUCGUGUCCUUCCAUAGACCUGCCCUUAAGAGUCGGCGGUCAACACAACUUUGAAA
This 210-nucleotide unclassified non-coding RNA is filed under the name uncultured Trechispora. RNAcentral describes it as "partial internal transcribed spacer 2". The record is from RNAcentral. Lineage: Eukaryota; Fungi; Basidiomycota; Agaricomycetes; Polyporales; Polyporaceae.